UUUUUUUUUGGGUUAAAUACAAUAUUACCCUUCAUCAAUACUUUUUGGAUUGUAAAACAUAUUGGGUUUGAAUGGUAACACAAUACACUUUUGUACAGUUUUGAUAGUUAUCAAUCAUAAAAACUUUAUCAAAAACGUUACAAAAAGUUUUACUCUCAGCUUUUUUUGUAGAGCUCGUUCUAAAAGUUUUGCACUGUUCCGAUAAAGCUAACAUCUAAAAUAUUUAUACAACUUUUGGUUACCAAUCAGAUCCAUUAUUUGAUUAAAAAAUGUAAUGGUUACGGUACUAGUAAAGUAUAUCUCACAGUUGAAAACUUGAAAUAGUAAAAAAAAAGUAUCCCUACCUAAACCCAUUUG
RNAcentral lists this small RNA (357 nucleotides) under Arabidopsis thaliana (thale cress). RNAcentral describes it as "ATSL060590". Lineage: Eukaryota; Viridiplantae; Streptophyta; Magnoliopsida; Brassicales; Brassicaceae. The record is from RNAcentral.